RNAcentral lists this long non-coding RNA (269 nucleotides) under Erythranthe guttata (spotted monkey flower). Its description in RNAcentral is "long non-coding RNA (EGUT_LNC003780)". The record is from RNAcentral. Lineage: Eukaryota; Viridiplantae; Streptophyta; Magnoliopsida; Lamiales; Phrymaceae.
UCAAGCAUAUGCAUGUAAGUAUAAAUUCUUUCUAUCUUUAAUUUGCAAAUAUUGGAUGCUUGAAGCAAUUGUAUGAAUUGUGGUUUUUGGUAAUGGUGAGUGACUAAGUGUUGUUGAAUUUUGAGCUUGCGAAUGCCUAAGAAUUGUCAAUAUAAUUACAAGUUCUGAAAACGUGAAGUUGAUCAUUGAUCUAUGUGAUGAGAUGUUAUCGUUGAGUUAUUUGCUUAUUGGUAAAUUUUGCUUGAGGACAAGCAAAAGUUCAAGUUUGG